Molecule: long non-coding RNA, 320 nt
Filed under: Apteryx owenii (little spotted kiwi)
Lineage: Eukaryota; Metazoa; Chordata; Aves; Apterygiformes; Apterygidae
Description: lncRNA (ENSAOWG00000015140.1)
Source: RNAcentral
CCAGACUAGUUUUUCCUAAAUUUUAGGGUAUAUUUAGUAGUAUGUACAUACUGUCUGAAGCAAUUAAUGGAGAGUGGACAUAAUGCAAAUUUUAUCCUGCUAUCUGAAUAAGGCCUUGAAUAAGGGUGCCCAUAACCUUGAAGCAUACAAAGACUACGUUGGGCCAAGGGCCCAGGAAUGGACACCAUGGAGAAGAGCUCCACUCUGAAAAUUCUGCAGAUGGAAAAUCACAUAUAUGCCUGUAACCCUCCAGAGGAGAAAGAGUGAUUCAAAGGCCCUUCUCAGACUAUGAAGAGGAGAAGGAGAACCAGACUUCAGGU